Molecule: long non-coding RNA, 2620 nt
Organism: Lagopus muta (rock ptarmigan)
Lineage: Eukaryota; Metazoa; Chordata; Aves; Galliformes; Phasianidae
Exons: 3
Source: RefSeq, a predicted model, not a curated record
UCUUGCUGCUCACACCAGGCUGUAAUGCUACCUGUGGUCUGUGCUUGGAUUACAGCUAUGUGCUCCAGUCAGAUGGUGAUAACUCUGGUUUUGGAAUGAAAGUUUCUUCAUUUCAUUUAGCUUGAAUUGUGUAGCACAAUCUUCACUGUGUGAAGAUGGAAUGGCUCCUGGAAGUGUGGAUGCAGCAGCCAGACGUGUGGUGCAGCAGGUUGGCAAACAGUUUGUUUCAGGUCAUUAUCUGCUCUUGGAAGUGGUUGUGCCAUUACUGACAGCACCCAAGCUGAAUCUCCAUUGUGAUGAAGUACUCGCACAUUUGCAAAAUCCUCACUGGAGGAGAUACAGCUAUGAAACUGUUCCUCUGAAACAGCCGUGCAUGUUGGGCUGUAGUGAAGCUGCCUGCAUUACUCCAGUUCCAGUGGAACAUCCAACUGAUUGAUUUACGAACACAAAGGAGAAUAAAACGGUGAUAAGAAAUGCAUGGAAUUAGUACAGUCAGGUGCACAAGGGCUUCCUUUACAAUACCUACGUGUCCAGUCUGCAGAGGACCUAAGCACAAGAGUCAUCUUAUUACAGAAGUUAACUAUGAAUUGCAAAAUGUAAGCAGUAUGGUAGAGGUACAGCUGCGGUAGCAUGGCACAGGUUUAGCACAUCAAGCAGGAGCCACAUGGAUCUACCCUAAAAUAUACGGAGCUCCAUAGUAAAACCCCUCUGGACAUGUUUCGUUGGAGAAGCUGUAGCAGAAAUGCCUUGACUUCUGAGAGGAGUUUUGCUGAAGCUCAUCGAAUUGCAACAGAAGGCCAGUAUCUGGUAACUGUCCAAAGCUACAAAUCCAUCAGGGAACAUUCAGGAACUCAGGAUAACAAAAUUUGUCCUCUUACUUAAGACUCUAAAUACCCAAUUUCAAACUUGUUAAAUGUGAUCUAUCUUGUUGGCAAUUCAGAGCUGAGACAUUGAAAAGCAGAUAAUGAUCUAGAUUCCGCUUUCUCUUGAGUAUAAUUAAUAGCCUAGAUUAUGAAAUUCAAGUCAGUUACAACUUUGUAACAACCAAUAACAAGGAUAAUAAAGGUUUAUUCAUCUUGCAGAAACUGUGCAGUAGGAAGUGAUUUUGUUUUUCCAAGUCCAGGACCUUGUUUAUUUGUGAUGCUAGUGUGGCUUUCCAUACUUGGUAGCUGAAAAGCCAUAUCAUAUGAGUUUUUGAAUCAGGAUGAAUGUUGACCUGUGCUUUUGGAUAUAUGUAAGUAUUUGUUAGUGUCAUUGUGUGUUCUGAUAUAAAAAGAGAACAAUGUGUGCAGUGUCAUGAUGAGUAUUAGCUAAACGUAUCCACAUUUCUAAAGGCAGUAGAUUAAUAUGGAAAUUUAAAAAAAAGUGAUAAAAAUAUAUUCCCUAAUUCUGAUUGUAGUACUACUGAAAAGCAUUCGAUUAGCAAGGCCCCUUUCAUUAGGAAAAGAUCUUCAGAUGCUUGUCUUCCUUACAGCCACAUAUUGUAACAUGGGUUCCUUGGUUGUAAAUCAAAGCAGACUCUGUAUUACUGAUCUCAUCUAUUUCUAGCCAUAAGAAGAAAGGUCAAGGAAUGGGCUGAUAUGCAUAUUGAGGUUAACUUCCCAACAAAUGGUUGAGCAUCACUUGCUAAUGGAAAGUAGAGAAUGAUUUUCUUUCUUUGGUUCCAUGUAAGUUUGCUUUUUUUUUUCCCCUCCCUUUAUUGAAUUACUCAUUAUCUCAUGCCAUGAGCUUUUCUCUUCUUCAUUGUUUUCUCCUGCUGGCCACUUAAGGUGUGGACUAAGAGAGCAGCAUGUUGGCUUGAUGCUUAGAUUCCCACUGGUUGUAAAACUAACACCAUAAAGUAAAGCACACAAGAAAAAUAUUGUGCCAUUAAUGCUGGAAUAUGCUUAACACACACAUACUCUAUAAUUUCCUCUAAAAAUUCCAUAUUGAAUAAAAAGCUUGGAGAAAAAAUUCUUCCUUUCAAAACUGAAAAUUUUCUAAGUUGUUUGGUGACUUAAUCACUAUUCAAAGCCUGAACUUACAAAUUCAGUGAAAUCUUCAUGUCAGAGGAAACUUCAGUGAUGAGAAGUCUCUGAACAUGAGAGCUAUUAUGAUGAAGUGUUUGAAGACAGACUUUCUGGUGGUUUUUGAAGUCAUAGGAGACAGAAAUUACUAAUUGCUAGGGAAUUUCCCUUUAAUCAGACUAUUAGCAGAAGUUUUGAUAUUACUAAGGCUAUUGUAAAAGAUGUAAAUGUGCACCCUGGUUGUCCUACAGCACAAUGAGAAACUAUUGCAUUAUUAUAUGUUUGCAAGAAUUCCCUCAAUUUUCCUCCUGACUGGAUUGUCCACAUUGGAUUCUCGUCUUGACUGGUGAUCAAUCAUUUCAAAUUAUCAUUUGCUUCCAUGGUUGUUGAUGUUUAUUUAUGAGAGUUGCAGUAAAGUGGUUGGGUUUAUGUACUACUACUCAUGUGUGGUGCUCCCUAGAAAAUAAAAAGGACUUGGACAGCAAAGUAGAACAGCUGAAACCAUUGGUAAAUAGUUUGAUGUCUUCACCUUUCCUCUAAACGGUUCAGUAGUGUUUCUGAAUUUAACUCAUGGACAUAUGAGCAUGUUUGGCAUGGCUAUUGUUUACAGUCUC